This 428-nucleotide ribosomal RNA is filed under the name uncultured prokaryote. RNAcentral's name for it is "bacterial SSU rRNA". It matches the Rfam family "Bacterial small subunit ribosomal RNA", at positions 355 to 774 of the family's 1533-position model. The record is from RNAcentral.
UGAGGAAUAUUGCGCAAUGGAGGAAACUCUGACGCAGCAACGCCGCGUGAGUGAAGAAGGCUUUCGGGUUGUAAAGCUCUGUCAGGUGGGAAGAAACCUUUAUAGUUGAAUAGGCUAUAAAACUGACGGUACCACCAAAGGAAGCACCGGCUAACUCCGUGCCAGCAGCCGCGGUAAGACGGAGGGUGCAAGCGUUGUUCGGAAUCACUGGGCGUAAAGCGCGUGUAGGCGGCUUGACAAGUCGAAUGUGAAAGCCCGGGGCUCAACCUCGGAAGUGCAUUCGAAACUGUCAGGCUUGAGUACGGGAGAGGGAAGUGGAAUUCCUGGUGUAGAGGUGAAAUUCGUAGAUAUAUGGAGGAACACCAGUGGCGAAGGCGGCUUCCUGGUCUGUAACUGACACUGAGGCGCGAAAUCGUGGGGAGCAAACA